AGAGUUUGAUCCUGGCUCAGGACGAACGCUGGCGGCGUGCCUAACACAUGCAAGUCGAGCGGAGAUAUUAGCAAUAAUAUCUUAGCGGCGGACGGGUGAGAUUAGCAACAAUAUCUUAGCGGCGGACGGGUGAGUAACGCGUGGGCAACCUGCCUCACACUGGGGGAUAACACAGGGAAACUUGUGCUAAUACCGCAUAACAUCAUGAAAGGACAUCCUUUUAUGAUCAAAGGAGCAAUCCGGUAUGGGAUGGGCCCGCGUCCAAUUAGCUAGUUGGUGAUGUAACGGACCACCAAGGCGACGAUUGGUAGCCGAACUGAGAGGUUGAUCGGCCACAUUGGGACUGAGAUACGGCCCAGACUCCUACGGGAGGCAGCAGUGGGGAAUAUUGCGCAAUGGGGGAAACCCUGACGCAGCAACGCCGCGUGAAGGAUGAAGGUUUUCGGAUCGUAAACUUCUGUCCUUGGGGACGAAAAAUAUUGAGUCAGUUUGACGGUACCCCAAAAACAAGCCACGGCUAACUACGUGCCAGCAGCCGCGGUAAUACGUAGGUGGCGAGCGUUGUCCGGAAUUACUGGGUGUAAAGGGCGUGUAGGCGGGAAUGCAAGUCAGAUGUGAAAUGCCGAGGCUUAACCUCGGAGCUGCAUCUGAAACUGUGUUUCUUGAGUGUCGGAGAGGAAAGUGGAAUUCCCAGUGUAGCGGUGAAAUGCGUAGAUAUUGGGAGGAACACCAGUGGCGAAGGCGACUUUCUGGACGAUAACUGACGCUGAGGCGCGAAAGCGUGGGGAGCAAACAGGAUUAGAUACCCUGGUAGUCCACACCCGUAAACGAUGAGUGCUAGGUGUCGGGGGUAUCGACCCCCUCGGUGCCACAGCUAACGCAAUAAGCACUCCGCCUGGGGAGUACGGUCGCAAGACUGAAACUCAAAGGAAUUGACGGGGGCCCGCACAAGCGGUGGAGUAUGUGGUUUAAUUCGACGCAACGCGAAGAACCUUACCAAGGCUUGACAUCCCGUGACAGCUAUAGAAAUAUGGUCUUUACGAGGAGCCCGGAGACAGGUGGUGCAUGGUUGUCGUCAGCUCGUGUCGUGAGAUGUUGGGUUAAGUCCCGCAACGAGCGCAACCCCUACAGCUAGUUGCCAGCACAUAAAGGGGAACUCUAGCAGAACUGCCGUUGACAAAACGGAGGAAGGUGGGGAUGACGUCAAAUCAUCAUGCCCCUUAUGUCUUGGGCUACACACGUACUACAAUGGCCUGAACAGAGGGAAGCGAAACUGCGAAGUUAAGCGAACCCCUUAAAACAGGUCCCAGUUCGGAUUGUAGGCUGCAACUCGCCUACAUGAAGUUGGAAUCGCUAGUAAUCGCAGGUCAGCAUACUGCGGUGAAUACGUUCCCGGGCCUUGUACACACCGCCCGUCACACCACGAAAGUCGGCAACACCCGAAGCCGGUGACUUAACCCGAAAGGGAGAGAGCCGUCGAAGGUGGGGUCGGUGAUUGGGGUGAAGUCGUAACAAGGUAACC
Molecule: ribosomal RNA, 1522 nt
Filed under: uncultured bacterium
Lineage: Bacteria
Description: 16S ribosomal RNA
Rfam family: Bacterial small subunit ribosomal RNA
Source: RNAcentral